AGAGUUUGAUCCUGGCUCAGGAUGAACGCUGGCGGCGUGCCUAACACAUGCAAGUCGAGCGAAGAUAGAGACGAGUAUUCGUACAAAUUUUUAUCUUAGCGGCGGACGGGUGAGUAACACGUGAGUAACCUGCCUUUCACUGGGGAAUAACAUCGAGAAAUCGGUGCUAAUACCGCAUAAUGUCACGAGACCGCAUGGUUUUGUGACCAAAGGAGUAAUCCGGUGAUAGAUGGACUCGCGUCCGAUUAGAUAGUUGGUGAGGUAACGGCCCACCAAGUCUACGAUCGGUAGCCGAACUGAGAGGUUGAUCGGCCACAUUGGGACUGAGACACGGCCCAGACUCCUACGGGAGGCAGCAGUGGGGAAUAUUGGGCAAUGGGCGAAAGCCUGACCCAGCAACGCCGCGUGAAGGAAGAAGGUCUUCGGAUUGUAAACUUCUUUGAUCAGGGACGAAUAAAUGACGGUACCUGAAGAACAAGCCACGGCUAACUACGUGCCAGCAGCCGCGGUAAUA
This 514-nucleotide ribosomal RNA is filed under the name uncultured bacterium. RNAcentral describes it as "bacterial SSU rRNA". It matches the Rfam family "Bacterial small subunit ribosomal RNA", at positions 8 to 525 of the family's 1533-position model. The record is from RNAcentral.